GGCAGUGAGAAUGUGAUGCCUGGAUACAAAGACUGCACAGGUUACAUUUUUAUAAAUGGCUUCAGUGGAUUCAUUAGUGCCCUGCCCCGAAAUACAGUGUGAGGAUUUUUAACUGACUAAAAGGAAAAGAACGUUGUUGCCUUUCAAGAGCUGAGUCUCAAGCUCAUUUUCUUUUUUCAUUUUCUUUUUGUUUGGUGCUGGAGAUCAAGCCCCCAGGAAAAGAUUGGACACUAAGAAGAUACUCAAAUGCUACACUGAGGAGGCUGAAGAUGGGUAUAAACAUCCAAACAUAACCAAACACAGGGACACAUCCAGUGAGAUUCUAACCAAAGAGAUCUACACAGUAGGGAUAGAGUCUUUUUACCUUAACUGAUUUUCAACUUGCACAAUAAAAACAACAGAAAUAUGGGAAAACAAGAUAGCAAGAUGCCUCCAAAAGCCCUUAGCCUCUCAGAAGCUGAUCUCACUGACACUGAAGCAGAGGAAAUUACAGGCAAAGAAUUUUUUAAAAAGUCAAAAUGUUUGAAGAGCUCUAUGUGAAACAUAUAAGCAAUUUCAUUAGAUGGUUGGCAGACUUAAAAAGGAUUUUAUUAGUGAAUAAAAGAUUUCACUAAUAAAAUGUUUGAAUGACUUAAGAAACCAAACAAUAAACUAAUUGAGUUAAGUAAGACAAUAUAAGAAAUAAAUGACCAGUUUAGUAAAGAAUUAGAAAUUACGAAGAAAAUGCAAAGAGAAAUACAAGAUAUGAAAAAUUCAAUAGAAAGCAUGGCUGACAGAUUGAAUCAACAUAAGGAAUAGAGUGUCACAAAUUGAAGAUAAGGUGGAUGUAGUAGAUCAUAAACUCAAGACAACAUGUAAUCUGGAUCCAACAGCUGCUAGAUGACUAAAAAAACCCCAAAUACCUGAAUUAUAAGAAUAAAGAGAAAAUUAGAAGGCAACACAAAAAGGAUAAAAAUUUAUUCACUGAAAUCAUAGCCGAAAAAUUUCCAAAUCUAGGGAAAGGAUUCAACGUUCAAGGAUAGCAACAGAACUCCAAGAAGCUAUAACCAGAAAAGAACUCUGUAUUAAUUCCAGAAAUUCAACCAAAAAUUCAACAACAACAAAAUGAGAACAAAAAAAGUUUUUGGAGAAAAGCAGCAAGUUAUUUAUAAAGGCAAACCUAUUUGAAUUACAUCAGCUUUCUCAGCACAAACCUAAAAAGGCCAGGAGAGCUUGGGACAAAGCAUUUGUGUACGUGUGUGUGUGUGUGUGUGUUUGUGUGUGUUUGAGACAAGGUCUCACUGUGUAAUUCAGCCUGGCCUUGAGCUCACUAUGUAGCCCAGGCUGGCCUUGAACUUGCAGCAGUCCUCCUUCCUCAGACACCUGGGUUCAGGAUUACAGGCAUGCACCAUCACACUCACUGAGACAAAAAUUUUUAAUGCCUAAAAGAAAUCAGUCAUCAACUCAGACUUUUAUAUUCUGCAAAAUUAGGCUACAAAAUUGACAGAGAAGUAGACUUUCCAUGAUGAAGAAAUCCUAAGGAAAUAUACAUGACCACUAAACCAGCAUUGCAGAAUAUACUCAAGGGAAUGUAGACCGAGAGGGGGAGGCCACCAGCACCAAAUAAUGCAAAGGGAAGUACUUAUCUAACUGGGAGAGUAGUUAUAUAAAAAGAAAAAAACCCCACAAAGGAAUCAUCACAGGAAAAAUAAUGCAAUGACAGGAUUCAGUAAACACCUCACAAUAAUAACUGUCAAUAUCAAUGGUUUUAAUUUCCCACUCAAAAGAUACAGCCUGGCAGUUUGGAUCAAAAACCAAAAUGCACCCAUGUAUUUCUUACAGAAGACACACCUCAUCUGGAAGGAAGAUCAUAGACUUAAGGGAAAAGAAUGGAAAAGAUAAUCCAUGGAACUAGAGGAUAAAAACACGCAGCAAUAGUUCUUUUGGUUUUAGCCACAGCAGACUUCAAGCUACAAAGAUGAUACAAAGAUGGCCACUACCUACUGGUAAAGGAAACAAUUCACAUGAGAAGAUAACAAAUCUAUCUGUAUCUAUCUAUACCUGUACACCAAAUGUUGGUACAGUCAACUUCAUAAAAAAAAAAAAAAGCACGGAACAUAAAAGAACAGAUAGCCACCAAUACAGUGGUAGCAGAGGACUUCAACACUCUCACAAUUAGGUCAACCAGACAAAAAUUAACAAAUAUCAGUUAAACCAUACCAUUGAAUAAAUGAACUUAACAGAUAGAUGCAGAGUGUUUAAUCCAACAAUAAAAUACACAUUUUUCUCAGCAGCACAUGGGAUUUUUUUCCAAAAUAAACCAUAUCUUAGGCCACAAAGCAUACUUAAAUAAAUACAAAAGAAUUAAAAGAAUUUGCUGCAUACUAUCAGAUCAUAGUAGAAUGAACACAGAAAUGCACAACAAAAGAAGCCACAGCAGUUCCACAAACACAUGGGCAUUAAACAAUACAUUACUGAAUUAUCAGUGUGGCACAGAAGAAAUCAGGGAAGAUAUGAAAAAAGUUCCUAGAAGCAAAUGACAAUGGAAGCACAAUAUGCCAAAAUCUAUGAGACACAAUAGAAGUUGUUCUCAGAGGCAAGUUUAUAGCUGUGAAUCCAAACAUGUAUCAAGAAAUGCCAAAUACAUAACCUAGUGAUGCAUCUCAAGGCCCAUAAAAACAGGAGAAAUCCAAUCUGAAAUCAAUAGGAGGAAAGAAAUUAUAAGGAUCAGAGUAGAAAGUAAUGAAAUUGAGAUAAAAAUACAAAAGAUCAAUUAAUCAGUCAUUUUCUUUGAAAGGAUAGACACGAUUGAUAAACUUUUAACCAAACCUAUCAAGGAGGAGGAGGAAAAUACUACUAUCAAUGAAAUUAGAAGUGAAAAAUGUGAUAUUACAACUGACACUGCCAAAAUCCAGAAGAUUAUUAGAAAGUACUUUCAAAACUUAUAUUCCAAUAAAUUGGAGAAUCUAGAAGAAAUGGAGAAAUUCCUAUACACAUAUGCAUUACCAAAAUUUAAUUAAGAAGAUAUAAAAACUGAGUAGAUCAAUAACAAGUAAUGAAAUACAGGAAGUAAUAAAAACUACCAACAAAAAAGAGCCUACUGUCUGGUGGAUUCAGUGCAGAAUUCUAUCAGAACAUCAGAGAAGAUCUAACCCCAGUACUUCUCAACCUCUUCAAUGAAAUUGAAAGGGAAGGAGUAGUGCCAAGCACAUUCCUGAAAGGUAGCAUUACCCAGACAUCAAAACCAAACAAGGACUGAACAACAACAACAACAACAACAUCAACAACAAUAACAACAACAACACUGCAGACCAACCUCCUUAGUGAACAUAGAUGCAAAAUCCUUAACAAACAGUAUAAAACAAAGCAUUGGAAACAUCAUACAUCAUGAUCAAGUUGUCUUCAUCCCAGUGACAUAAGGAUGGUUCAACAUACAUGAAUCAAUAGAUGUAAUACAUCACAUAAAAUAAAGGACAAAGAUCACACGAUCAUCUCAAUAGACACAGAAAAAGCCCUUGACAAAAUCCCAACAUCUGUUCAUGAUAAAAAGUGAUGAAAAUACAUAUAGAAAUACCUUGUAACUGGUAAAAGUCAUUUAUGACAGACCCACUGCCAACAUGACAGUAAAUGAGGAAGCACUGAAACCUUUUUCUGCAUAAUUAGAAACAAGAGAAGGAUGUCCUCUCUCAUCACUUCUGUUUAAAACAGUAUUUGAAACAUUAGUCACAGAAUUCAGGAAAGAGAAAGAAAUAAAAAGGAUGUAUAUAGGAAAUGAAGAAGUCAAACUAUCGUUAUUCACAAGUGAUACAAUCCUUUACAUAGAAGACCAAAAAAAUUCUAUGGAUACAAAAUAAAUACUAAAAAAUCAAUAAUGUUCCACCAUCAAUGAUGUUCCACUGUACACCAACAAUGAAUAUACAAAUAAAGAAUUUAGAAAAAAAUUGGAUCUGAUUUAUAAUAGCUUCAAAAACAUUAAAUACUUAGAAUCAACCUAACUAAAGAAGUAAAGGACCUCCAUCACAAAAACUAUAUUAUCCUGAAAAGGAAAUAUAAAAGGACUUCAGAAAAUGGAAAGUCAUCCCCUGUUCCUGGACAGGCAGUCCUCUAUGAUUCACCUCUUCAGAUUUAGAAAACUGUGUUUUCUGCCCAAAUCCAGCGAAACUGGAGGGAGUAGGACACUUUUCCCAGGUUAUUCUCUAUCCUUGAGUCAUUGUGCAGUGUCUGCUUUCACUGGUCUGUGGAUCAUUGCCCUUUAUGCAGUGGCUCAUGCCAGCCAAGGCCCUGGGACUCUCCAGCAUCAUUUACAUGUUUGUUGCAACUGUUAAAUACAUCUAGAGUCUAUGUGUUUUCAAUGGAUUGGUCAUUGGCUCAUUUUUUUCUUCUUGAACUUAAACCAUGGGAAUAAUAUUUACUUUAUGGUUAAUUUGUCUUUUCUCUACAAAUGUGAACACUUUCCAAGAAUGUGGUAGACUAUAUUAAUAAACUGAGUUUGUGACCUGU
Molecule: non-coding RNA, 4479 nt
Organism: Heterocephalus glaber (naked mole-rat)
Lineage: Eukaryota; Metazoa; Chordata; Mammalia; Rodentia; Bathyergidae
Source: RefSeq, a predicted model, not a curated record